UGGGGAAUAUUGGACAAUGGGCGAAAGCCUGAUCCAGCCAUGCCGCGUGUGUGAAGAAGGUCUUCGGAUUGUAAAGCACUUUAAGUUGGGAGGAAGGGCAGUAAGCGAAUACCUUGCUGUUUUGACGUUACCGACAGAAUAAGCACCGGCUAACUCUGUGCCAGCAGCCGCGGUAAUACAGAGGGUGCAAGCGUUAAUCGGAAUUACUGGGCGUAAAGCGCGCGUAGGUGGUUCGUUAAGUUGAAUGUGAAAGCCCCGGGCUCAGCCUGGGAACUGCAUCCAAAACUGGCGAGCUAGAGUAGGGCAGAGGGUGGUGGAAUUUCCUGUGUAGCGGUGAAAUGCGUAGAUAUAGGAAGGAACACCAGUGGCGAAGGCGACCACCUGGGCUCAUACUGACACUGAGGUGCGAAAGCGUGGGGAGCAAACAGG
Molecule: ribosomal RNA, 429 nt
Filed under: Pseudomonadota bacterium
Lineage: Bacteria; Pseudomonadati; Pseudomonadota
Description: Proteobacteria bacterium partial 16S ribosomal RNA
Rfam family: Bacterial small subunit ribosomal RNA
Source: RNAcentral